AGCUGAUAAAACAACAUUUCACCAAACCACGGUCAAAAGGUUGUGUGGAUCGUCAAAUGGCGACUUCAUCUUGAUGAAGGAAAAGAAGUGUGCGGAUAAGAAGUGUGCACAUUAGUUUUCACUUGAUGUUAUUGGGUAAUGUUCUCUGACCUCUUUUUGUAGUUUUCUUCUGGACCUCUCUGCCUUCUAUGUUGACAAUUACCUGCUUCCUCUUGGUCAUCUCAAGUCUUUUCUUUAGGUUUACCAUCUCUUUGGUCCUCUCCAGAAGCUUCUCUUCUGUGUAGCGCAACUUUGACCUCCAAUUUUGAUAGUGUUUUCUUUCUUCUGUUACUCUUUUUGGGUGACUCUUUUGGGGUAGAUGUCUUCAUUGGUCCUGGUGUCUGUAGAUAUGUUUCUUCUUUUAGGAGUUGAGUUGAUGGCAGGGGCAUUUACCUGCUGAGGUGAGAAUGGCUGUUCUCUUGGGGAGGCUGUGUCUUCUAGAAUUUGAAUUACUUAAUUUUGCUUCUUGAAUGUGUUGAAAUGUAUCAUCUUGCUCGCUUGAUGGUGUUAUGUCCAGUACAGCUUUUAGCUGUUUCUUUUUUCUAUAAUACCUUUUGAGUUUCACUUUUCUUCUUUUCAUGUUGCUGCUUUGUCAGAUCUUGUUUUAUUGAUUUUACAAUUUUGCUUUCAUUUUUGAUAUCUGGAAAGGAAGCAUGAAAUGAGCAUGUCUGAAAACAUGGGGAAGAUCUUACUGUUAUGGACAUAUCAUCCUAUAGUAAAGACUGAAUGGCUUACAGACUGUGUGCAUCCUACAGUAGGGAGUUAAUGGCUUACAGAUUGUGUGUACACACAUCCUAUAGAAGGGACUGAAUGGCUUACUGACUGGAAUCCUAUAGUACAAACUAAAUGGGUUACUGAUUGUGUGUGGUGGACAUGUGUGCUCGCAUAUGUAGACUUCCUAACACUGUAGGGUAUUGACUUCCUAUAGACACUGUAUGAGGGCGUAGGCUUCCUAUUGAUUAUACAGUUGAAGUCGGAAGUUUACAUACACCUUAGCCAAAUGCAUUUAAACUCUGUUUUUCACAAUAUCUGACAUUUUAAUCAGAGUAAAAAGUCCCUGUCUUAG
RNAcentral lists this long non-coding RNA (1105 nucleotides) under Salmo salar (Atlantic salmon). RNAcentral's name for it is "lncRNA (ENSSSAG00000093619.1)". The record is from RNAcentral. Lineage: Eukaryota; Metazoa; Chordata; Actinopteri; Salmoniformes; Salmonidae.